GAUGAACGCUAGCGGGAGGCUUAACACAUGCAAGUCGAGGGGCAUCACGAGAUAGCAAUAUUUUGGUGGCGACCGGCGCACGGGUGAGUAACGCGUAUGUAACCUACCCUGUACAGGGGGAUAGCCCGGAGAAAUUCGGAUUAAUACCCCAUAAUGAUAUUUUGAGGCAUCUCAGGAUAUUUAAAGCUUCGGCGGUACGGGAUGGGCAUGCGUGACAUUAGCUAGUUGGUAAGGUAACGGCUUACCAAGGCUUCGAUGUCUAGGGGUCCUGAGAGGGUGAUCCCCCACACUGGUACUGAGACACGGACCAGACUCCUACGGGUGCAG
Molecule: ribosomal RNA, 327 nt
Filed under: uncultured Bacteroidota bacterium
Lineage: Bacteria; Pseudomonadati; Bacteroidota
Description: bacterial SSU rRNA
Rfam family: Bacterial small subunit ribosomal RNA
Source: RNAcentral